Molecule: ribosomal RNA, 254 nt
Filed under: uncultured bacterium
Lineage: Bacteria
Description: partial 16S ribosomal RNA
Rfam family: Bacterial small subunit ribosomal RNA
Source: RNAcentral
UACGUAGGUGGCAAGCGUUGUCCGGAAUUAUUGGGCGUAAAGCGCGCGCAGGCGGCCUCUUAAGUCUGAUGUGAAAGCCCCCCGGCUCAACCGGGGAGGGCCAUUGGAAACUGGGAGGCUUGAGUAUAGGAGAGAAGGGUGGAAUUCCACGUGUAGCGGUGAAAUGCGUAGAGAUGUGGAGGAACACCAGUGGCGAAGGCGACUCUUUGGCCUAUAACUGACGCUGAGGCGCGAAAGCGUGGGGAGCAAACAGG